This is a long non-coding RNA of Ictalurus furcatus (blue catfish), 4615 nucleotides long. RefSeq lists it as uncharacterized. The transcript has 4 exons. NCBI's taxonomy places the organism in Eukaryota, Metazoa, Chordata, Actinopteri, Siluriformes, Ictaluridae. The record is from RefSeq and is a predicted model, not a curated record.
UUGACACCUGAAACAGAGUUGGGCAGGAGAAGAUCUGUUAAUAUUCUGCUUCGAUUCACUCAAGGGAUGAGGAUAGGUCAAGUUCAAUUAGACUAAUUGAUUAGCACAUUAAACAGCACUGUCAAUUAAUACUUAAGGAGAAUUAUUUUUGACGGUAUAACCGAGUCACAUUAUUCCCUGUCAGACUGGCCGCCACUCGACUACUGGCCGAUAAAGCAGCGAGAAGUGACGGACAUUUCAAAGAACGUCGGCCAUGUUGGAGCUCUCUCGAGAAAUCUAUUUUCUGUGUUGCGCUGCAUAAUCAUGGGGAAGGUUUUCAUCUCACCUCUUCCCUUCACCAGCCAACGCAGUUCUGCUGUUGCAGAAUGCAAAGUAGUGGACUGAUCACCACAGUUGGCAGAGAGGCCACACAGAAUUAGAGGCACAAAUCACUCCCUCCAUUUUGAAGGAACGCAGGCUGACAGAGUGACUUAUAGUGAAAACGUUCAAGAUUUUGCCCAUAAAUAGAAACGUACAUACUAACAGAUGUAUUAACGUAUGCAAACUGUAUACACCUGCACAUCUAAUAGCAACAAUAAGAUUUCAGGAAGACUCAGUGAUAUAACGGUUACAUGCUAUUAUGACCCCGCCUCCCCCUUCACCCCCAGGUAUGCAAAAGACAAAACAAAGGUAUUUCAAAAUAUGAAUAAUGCUUCUACACUGCUGCCUUUACUGCUAGUUAUUAAACUGCAGUAAUAUAUUAGAUUUAAAAAACAAAACAAAAAACACCAAGAUAAACAGCCAAGGACACAUUGCCAAGGACUGAGCUUGUAGCAAAGAUUGGUCCAAAUAUCACGUCAAACGGUAUAGUAUUGGUACAUGUUUGAAGAGUCAGAUGAACAAGUUCAUGUAAAAUAUAUUAAUGUAUUAUGUACUAAGCUGUAAUUUGCCGGUCGGAGCAACAAACUCGGAUGAGUGAUGUAUACAGUGCUGUCAAAAAGUAUUUGCCCCCAUCCUGUUUUGUUCUGUUUUUGUGUACAUCUCGUACUACAUUGUUGCAGAAAUUAAAACAGAAUCUAAUAUCAAACAAAGGCAGUGGGUUCAGCUGGACGAGACACAACCAGGUUCGCUUUAAACCCUGUUCAAUCAAAUCAGCACUUAAAUAGAACUUUUUCAACAGCAUGACAUUGGUUAAAAGGUCUUACCCAGUAACACAUUAUGCCAAAAUUGAAAGAAAUUCCAGAAAUGAUGAGGAAGAAGGUGAUUGAAAUACAUCAGUCUGGGAAGGGUUACAAAGUUAUGUCAAAGGCUCUGGGACUCUAAAGCACCACAGUGAGAGUAAUUAUCUCCAAAUGGAAAAAACUCAGCACAGUAGUGAACCUUCCCAGAAAUGGCCGACCUUCCAAAAUUCCUCUAAGAGCACAGCAACGACUCAUCCAGCAAGUCACAAAAGAGCCAAGGAGAACAUCAAAGGACCUACAGACCUCUCCUGCAUCAAUAAAAGUCACUGUUCAUGACUCCACUAUCAGAAAGACACUGGGCAAAAAUGGCAUCCAUGGAAGAGUAGCGAGGCGAAAACCACUGCUAACCCAGAAGAACAUUAAGGCUCCUCUGAAUUUUGCCAAAACAUACCUUGAUGAUCCUUAAACCUUUUUUAUUUUGAUUAUCUUUAAUGUUUUCCUUUUGUUUGGGUGUGUAAUGUAUCUGUUUGUGCAUGUAUAAGAUCUGCAAAGUCACAAAGCUCAUAGUCUCCCCCAAAGGGAUUUAUUUUACCUAACAGAGAACACUACUCCAGACCGGCCCAAAACGCGUCGUUUCGAAGUCCAGAUAUUACUUCCGCAAAUGUCUACAUCACAGCGUGCACUAUUAACAUAAUCCCAUCCAAAGGCAGGUGCAAAGAAAGAAGAGGACAGCUUCCUGAACCUGGGUGAGUACAAGGCAGGCUACACAAAAAGCUACUCCUGAAAAAAUGGGGCGAUUCCCACUUUCCUCAGACAAGCUUGUGCUUCUGCAUCAGAACCAUUUAUAUCAAUCGAAUCACAGGAAUCUUAGCUUUCCAGAGACAUAUUGUGAGUACCCAUGUACAAAUAGAAGCUGUGUAUAUGGCAUAGUUUUUCACAAACGAGCCAGUCCGCCAUCAGAAUUUACAACGUAUCUGAAAGGGAAGCUGUUUAAUUAUGCGAAUUUCAAACUUGUCUCUAAUGAUGGGUUAUGAGUCAGGCCUGGAAAUAAGCAUAAACAGAGAAACAUGGCAUAAGCAGGGAGAAAACAGCAUAAUUAUCUUGAGGUGUAAGAUGUAAAACUGGACCAGGCGUGGGAGUGUGUUGAGGUGAUCAAAACACUACUUAAACAAGUUUUUCACCCAAUGGUCCAGCAGUGUGGUGAAACAGUAGAAUAAGUACAUAUGUUUUGUAUUCAUGUGCCAAAGAGUGUGCUCUUCAGAAAAGAAGCUACUGUAAAAACCCUCCCAUCUUAAUUCAGCUUGUAACCUAAUGAUGCAUAAAAAAAACUGCUUUAUUACUGAGCAAACUAACAGAAACUAGCUCAGACGUCUGGUUUGUAUGAACACUUGGUGAUGUGAAUAUUGGGAUGUCUUUUCAACAGUCACACUUGGGAAUAUUGAAUAUAACGUGUUAGGUGUUUGUGGGUGUGUAAGGACCAUAAUAUUAUUAUGUAUAAAAAAAAUUCCACCACCCUUGUAUCCGCUGAUGUCUCUUUAGACGGUAUGCAAGACCCCUUUUUUGCUUAUAGCCCAUCUAUGAUUGUAUAGUCCAUCCAUCCUCUACCACUUACUCCUUUUCAGGGGGAACCUGGAACCAGGAAGCAUCGGGCACCAUCGCAGGGCACAAUCAUAUACACACUCACACACACCCAUUCAUACACUAUGGACAAUUUAGACACGCCAAUCAGCCUAUUGGAGGAAACCCCCGUAGCACGGGGGGAACAUGCAAACUCCGCACACACGGCCCCGGCGGGAAUCGAACCCCGGACCCUGGAGGUGUGAGGCGAAUGUGCUAACCACUAAGCCACCGUGUGCCCUGAUUGUAUAGUUUGUACUCAAAAACAGGAACAGGAAUUGAAACAGGAAGUGUGUGUUCUUCCCAGUUCACUUCUGGAAAACUGCUUUAACAAGCUGAGAUCGUUUCACUAUGAAGCAAAUUGUGGAGAUCGAUUUUUCAUGGCUGGCUUAAAAUUACGAGGCACAGAAAUAAGAAUCAGAGUAAGCUGCCUAGCAGCAGCACUAUUGUGCACAUUUGUAACUACUGUUUCUGUAUACAGACUACAAGCUGCCCACAGAACAGAAAAUAAAUAAAUAAAUCAAAGAUCGUCAGUUAGGGAAAACCACCAGGAAAAAAAAAAUGGAAACACAACCUGAAAUUCAAUCCUGGCAAACGUAGUACAGUUUCACAAAGCUGACCUUGUUUAAAUGCUCCCACAUAUAUUCCCAUAAGAAAUACUUACACUUCCCGUGUGCUGCUUAUAAUUUCACAGUUUUCAUACUUUCAGCUUUUUUCAACGCAGUGGUUACAACACAACUACCACCACGGGACCGCUGUGAAUUUUAGCUGAGCAAGCCAAAGUUUGCGAAUAAAGCCCUGAGAAAAUAGUAAGUAGCACAUUCUGAAAAUAAACUGUCACACAAAAUGAAAUUAAGUUCUAAUGAACAGGGAAGUACAAUGGCGGUCUGGUUUCUGUUCCCCUGAGACACACUCACUGUGCCACCGAUGACUCUAAUCAUAGGCAGACGGAUUUUGCGGCUGCCUGCCAGAUAUGGAUGAUAUGUAAAUUCGGCUGCUGUCUUCUAUCCAUACAAGUCGGAGAGAAUUUAUUUCUUAGUUAGAGGGGGUAUAUGUGGGUGCAUGUGUUAUCAUUAGGCCACUGGGAAUUAAUCGCCUAACUAUGCCCAUAUAUAAUUUGCAUGACAGAGAGAAAGACAGAAUGAUCUGUGAGGAGAGCGUUACUUAUGCUGCUCAUAUAUCAUAAUCAUUUAUCCCCACGAGUCCCUUUAUGAAGUGCUCAAUGAGGGACGGCCUGUGUAUUGUGUGUGAUGUAAGUAAUUAAGAUUCCAUCCAAAUGUACACUGAUGCGGAGCAGGAACUCGGGGUGGUUUCAAAUUGCUCUCACAAAGGAUCUGCAGUUUUACAUAAAAAUAGAGAUGCCGGCAUUUGGACAUUUUUCCUCUUGCUGUGGGACCAAUAUCACAGAUGGCUGUGAAGCUUUGACUGAACAGGCUUUGACAAAGCAUUAAAAAAAAGAAAAAUGCAUGUAAUGACUAAUCUCGCUAACCAAAAUCAAAAUGGCUAUUAAGUAAGAAACACGAUAUGGCGUGCUAUUACAAGAAAAUAAUCCACUACAUGAAGCGGAGCAGACCCCGAAGUGGAUUAUUUAUUCCUCUAGCAAUUUUAUUCAUUUUAUUCCACAGCAAACUGCCAACGAUUGCAACUGUAUAUAAUUUUUUAACUAGCUACACGUUUUUUUAACCAUAUCUAGCCACAUUUAAUGCUGUGAAACCUCUCAGAAACAACUUGGUUGCUAUUAUAAUUUAUACUAUAGCAGCCGUUCCUGCUUUUUUCCCCUCUCACUUGAAGUUAAUAAGACAAAAACACAGCAUGUCAUUUUGCUGAGAAACUCAGAA